AUUUGGACUGCCACCGGAAAAGGAGGGUAUAUUGGAUAGGGACAGAAAUUUUACCUUGCAACAGGCCACCUACGGACCCCUCAAAGAGUUGUUGCAAGGGUUCUUAACGUGCAAAGAGCGUGGCACUCUCUGUACACGAGACAUCGGAUUUAACGUCCCCCUUCUGACCGGACGUGACUGCGAACUUGAUACAUCCCGCACAGCCAAACGGACGCCCCC
This 219-nucleotide long non-coding RNA is filed under the name Mytilus galloprovincialis (Mediterranean mussel). The record is from RNAcentral. Lineage: Eukaryota; Metazoa; Mollusca; Bivalvia; Mytilida; Mytilidae.